Molecule: long non-coding RNA, 539 nt
Organism: Lagenorhynchus albirostris (white-beaked dolphin)
Lineage: Eukaryota; Metazoa; Chordata; Mammalia; Artiodactyla; Delphinidae
Exons: 2
Source: RefSeq, a predicted model, not a curated record
AAAAAGACUGUGGCUUGGGACUUCCCUGGUGGCGCAGUGGUUGGGAGUCCGCCUGCCAGUGCAGGGGACACGAGUUCGAUCCCUGGUCCAGGAGGAUCCCACAUGCCGCGGAGUAGCUGAGCCCGUGCGCCACAACUACUGAGCCUGCGCUCUAGAGCCCGUGCUCAACAAGAGAAGCCACCGCAAUGAGAAGCCCGCGCACCGCAACGAAGAGUAGCCCCCGCUCGCCGCGAUUAGAGAAAGCCCACGUGCAGCAACGAAGACCCAACACAGCCAAUAAAUAAGUAAAUCACUGACUCUGUGGGAGGAUGGCAGCCUGAAGAGGCCCACAUGGUGAGGAACUGAGGCCAACAGCCCUGUGAGUGAGCUUUCUUGGGAGGAUCCUUCAGCCCCAGUCAAGCCUUCAGAUGACUGCAGCGCUGGCUGACAUCUUGACAGCAAUCUCACGAUCAUCUCUGAGCCAGAAUUACCCAGCUAAGCCACUCCUUGACUUUGGGCUCUCAGAAUCUACAUGAGAUAAUAAAUAUUUGUUGUUUUAA